GUAACUACUUUUGGUUGGGAGGGAGAAUGGAGGAAAUAUGACUUCCCUUUUUCCUCUCCAUUUUCCAUUUUCCUCUUUUUCUUUCUUAAAAACCACCCAAAUGAAAAUGGAAAUUCUCUCCCAAAUUCUUUGGGAUUGGCUUGUAUUUGUUCAGUGCCUAAUUCUUCCUUCAUCAAUCAUCCACCUUGUGCAUCUAUCAUGCUCAUAAGUGCAAAAGUCAAUAUUGAUCAUAGAACGAAAGGUCCUCUAUCAUGCUUAUGAGCGCAAGGUACAAUCUUCUUGAUCAUAAUAUUUGAAAAAUGCGCAUAACAGAACUUAUAUACCACACACACAAGUUAUAUUCACAUUAUAUAUUUGGUCAUUCCUGUGAAUCAAUCUCUAUUUCCCUUUUCAUACCAAGAAAUUAUGUGUUUGCUUUAUUAGGUAUUACACAUCCAGCUAGAAUUGGAAGUAAUUGGGUAUUGCUUAGCGCAGUACUUUUUGAUGCUUUGAUUCCGAUGUUGUAACUAUGCUGGUUUUGUCGGUUAUACAGAUUUUUUCCAGAAGCUGUGACGAAUUCUCCACCAAAAGAAAUGGCGAAAUUUGAUAAAAUGAUAGUGAAGGUAUGUCAGCCAACAGUUUCCAUCUUUGUACUCUAUAUGAGAAUAUAAAUUAUGUAAUUGUUUCUAUUUGCAUGUCAAAAUUGCCCAUGCUAUAAGUGCAAUUUGUUUGCUGCAAACAAUUUAACUAGUCAACUAAGUCAAGCCAGAUUGCCUUGGCCUAAUUACCUGCAAUUUUAUUGUUAAUAUGAUAAAUCAAUACCAACCAUAGAAAACUUCUAGUAAAACUAAAUUACAUUGAAGGGCAAAACCCAGAUUAUUAUUAGUCAAGGGCUCCAAAUAAAUAUGACCGGGAAAGAAAAUUAAGGGUUAGGUGGGAGAACCCAUUACUAAUAGAUAAAAACUGGAUAAGGUUGUUGAAAAAUUAUUGGUGGAUAACACAUUCCAGGAAACAUUUUGACCGAAUGCUAAGAAAUCAAUCAUCAAAUGGGUAUUGUUCAUACCUAAUUGUACAAUCAUAUAGAACAGAUCGAGCCCCAAUCCGGCUGUCACAAGUACCGAACAUGGCUGUUUUCGCAGCAGCAAGACAGGUGCUACAAUCUGAAUUUGUAAGAUUUUUGUUACAGGCAGCAUGACCAUAAGCAAAAGCAUUUGGGUAAGGAGAGAUGUUGUAAUAGUCAUGACCUUGGCGCGCAGGUGUAGCAGAUUCUAAAUCUGAAAGGACAUAGGCUAGACUAAUGGCGAAGGGGUCACUUUUCGCAUAAACUCCAGAAUUACACAGCACACUCAUCACUUUAGUGUUUGGAUCACUUCUCACAACACUGCAUAGCCCAAAUAAUCCAAUUAGCAAUCCAGUCACAUAUACUUUCGCAUAACCCAUUUUCCUCUGUUAUCUUCUCUUUCUUGUUGGCUAUUUCCUCUCUUAUGAGAUACGACUUUUGAUGUCUAUGGGUUUUUUCACCUGUGUUUGACAAUGUCAACCAAGUUUUGUCCUUCUUGCUUGUAUUUUUGUUUAUUGAAUAUUCCUAUGCUACUGCUUCUCUUGAUUAUUUUUCCUCUGUUUUUGAUGAAUAUGGGCCAAUUCAUUGUCAUUGAGUAAAAUGUUUCGUUAUCUUGUUUAGAAUAUAUGUAUGAAUUUGCAGGCUUUUAUAGAGGGCUUCCAAGUAACUAAGAAAGUCUGUUUUUUUAAUAAUUUAGAUGUUUACGCUCUGUUUCUGAGUUUUAAAAUGGACAGAAAAGAAAAGAAAUGAACGGAAAAUUUAAGUUUUCUUUCUAAUUUUUAUGUUUCUGAGAUUUUUAAUAAACAGAAUAUAAAAGAAAUGAAUAAAAAACUUGGCCACUUUUUCUGCCAAAGUUUUCCGUCCAAAAUUGGCCUGAUUUGGACGGAAAAGAAAUUGGAAUAAGUAAUAUUUUUAUAAUUUCCAUAUUAUCCUCGACUUUUAAUAUAAUAAAUUUUAAAUUACAACUCAUGUCCUCAAUUUUAAAUUUUCUAUUCUUUUCUAUUAAAAACUCAGAAACAACACAAAGGAAAACUUCAAGUUUUCUAUUCUUUUCUUUUCUGUUCUAAUUUAAGUUUUCUAUUCUUUUCUUUUUUGUUCAAAACUCAGAAACAGAGUGUUAGGGAUCCUGGUUAUUAGGAAUAAUUUUUACGGGUAGAUCUUAACCAGUAGUGUAUGAAUUUCAUAUUGGUUUUCUAGUAUAUUAGGAUAUUCUGUUCUUGAGUGAGGUUAAUGACAUUAGCAAGCCUGUGUAGACUUAGCUUAUAGUCUUAGUUCCUCCUUCAAACUUCAAUAGAGGGAUUUUGUCAACAAGCCCCAUUCUUAUCUUUCUUCUCUUUUUUUUUUUUGUAAAAAGUAAAAACUUGUGUCACAAAAGAUGAUGACUCCUUAUUUCCAAUCUGACGCAGUUAGAAUAUAUCUGACUGGAAGGAAUAAAUUUGUAUCACAAAAACAUCAAACUUAUAGCCAAUCUAACUGCUUUGUAUAUCGAAAAAGCACCGUGUACAUGAAGGUAGCACAUACACUUAAUGUGCUGAUAUACCUUAAUAAGCAAAGGAUUUAUUAUUGCUAUAAAUGCAUAUUCAGGAGUGAGCUCACUUUUAUAAGUUCCUUAAAUAUAUAUUUAUGUGGUCUCAGAUGAUGUAUUGUCCCGUGUAUAGAUCUAGUAAUUUUUUCCGUCUGUUUUAGCUGGGGGAGAUGUGAGGAGAUAUAAUUUCUCCUGUGAACAUCAUUUUCUUUUAUACAUAUAUACACACUUAUAGUGCGAAAAUUGGCUGUAAUGGUUAUAUACCGAAGUAACAGCACCCAUUGCUCUGCUAUUUACUUUGGAAAUCAGCCAUCUCUCCUAGUUCUUCCACCUCUUUUGCUAAUACUUCCACCUUUUCCAUCAUCUCCAUCAAUAAAAACACAAAGCUUGCAAUGGCAAUACCUUCACCAUUCUGUGCUUCUUCUAGCUUUGGAGAUUUAACCAGGCUCAGCUCUAUUUUCAUGGACUGCAGCUUUGGUGCUAUCAAGAUCUUAGCAUGACACUUCUUCAUUUUAGUUAUACUUUCUCCAAGCCCUCUCAGAAUCUGCAGAAGUUUCGAUCCAACAAUUUCGCAUGGCUCUUUGAUUUCUUGUCUUGGUUUUGAUGAUGGCUGAUCACACAUUCGAGAUUAAUUAUUAACUUAUUAAGAAAAUAAUAAUGAUUUAACCAUUUAUUUUAUGAAUGAUGUAAAAGAUAUUUAUAAAUUAAAUCAAUUAUCAUUGGCAAUGUUCCAUCACUUUAAAGAUAACAGAGAUGAUUCCAAACCUGCUUUGGUGAUUGAACACACCCUUUAAGGGACAGAAUGGUUCCAGCAAGCUCUCUAAGAACUUCUCCUAUCCGUAGAUAUUUCUCCCAAGGAUAGUUCAACCCAAAUUUUCCAUGCCACGGUUCCCACUUUGCAAAAUUUGCCUGAAUUGCAUAACAUAGGAUCCCUAAGUUACACAUGUUUCCAAACUACUGAAAUUAGGUAAAUAUGUUCCAGGUAAUGGAGCGACAUAUUUUACCGCUAAAGAUUUCAUUUAUAUAUUUAUGGUGUUUAUAGGAAUUUUAAGCUUGUGUAAUCCAUCUUUGUCCAGUGAAAUGAAUUUCUAAGAAUAAAUAAUGUACCAGGGACUCUUCAGUUGACUUUGUGUGUAACACUGACUUGCAACUGUUGACAUUAGCACUUGGCUGGUUUUCAUUUUCUCCGACUAUACUGAAGUAUUCGUCCAAGCAUCCUGCUCAUACAUUACAGAAGCUAUCUUAAAUUACUUUCUUGCUGCUUGAGGGAUAGUAAAUGAGCUAACAUAGAA
Molecule: long non-coding RNA, 3856 nt
Filed under: Panax ginseng (ginseng)
Lineage: Eukaryota; Viridiplantae; Streptophyta; Magnoliopsida; Apiales; Araliaceae
Description: long non-coding RNA (PGIN_LNC002253)
Source: RNAcentral